RNAcentral lists this ribosomal RNA (253 nucleotides) under uncultured bacterium. RNAcentral's name for it is "partial 16S ribosomal RNA". It matches the Rfam family "Bacterial small subunit ribosomal RNA", at positions 524 to 776 of the family's 1533-position model. The record is from RNAcentral.
UACGUAGGGAGCAAGCGUUGUCCGGAAUCAUUGGGCGUAAAGCGUGCGCAGGCGGCGCGUUAAGACAGGUGUGAAAGCCCCGAGCUUAACUUGGGAAUUGCGCUUGUGACUGGCGUGCUGGAGUGUGGCAGAGGGAGGUGGAAUUCCACGUGUAGCAGUGAAAUGCGUAGAGAUGUGGAGGAACACCGAUGGCGAAGGCAGCCUCCUGGGCCAGCACUGACGCUCAUGCACGAAAGCGUGGGGAGCAAACAGG